This 467-nucleotide ribosomal RNA is filed under the name uncultured bacterium. RNAcentral describes it as "partial 16S ribosomal RNA". It matches the Rfam family "Bacterial small subunit ribosomal RNA", at positions 28 to 507 of the family's 1533-position model. The record is from RNAcentral.
GACGAACGCUGGCGGCGUGCUUAACACAUGCAAGUCGAACGAUGACGACCGAGCUUGCUCGGUCUGAUUAGUGGCGAACGGGUGAGUAACACGUGAGCAACCUGCCCUUCACUCUGGGAUAACCUCGGGAAAUCGGGGCUAAUACCGGAUAUGAGCUCCUGUCGCAUGGCGGGUGUUGGAAAGUUUUUCGGUGAAGGAUGGGCUCGCGGCCUAUCAGUUUGUUGGUGAGGUAGUGGCUCACCAAGGCGAUGACGGGUAGCCGGCCUGAGAGGGCGACCGGCCACGCUGGGACUGAGACACGGCCCAGACUCCUACGGGAGGCAGCAGUGGGGAAUAGUGCACAAUGGGCGAAAGCCUGAUGCAGCGACGCCGCGUGAGGGAUGACGGCCUUCGGGUUGUAAACCUCUUUCAGCAGGGAAGAAGCGAAAGUGACGGUACCUGCAGAAGAAGCGCCGGCUAACUACGUG